GUAAGUUGCCCUGCGUCCGUUUGCUGUGCGUUUCUGCAUAAUCAAAUUAGUGUUUCUUUAAUGUAAGAAUCUUAGUAGUACCCAAAAACCCCAUAGAGAAGAA
This is a long non-coding RNA of Ipomoea nil (Japanese morning glory), 103 nucleotides long. RefSeq lists it as uncharacterized. The record is from RefSeq and is a predicted model, not a curated record. NCBI's taxonomy places the organism in Eukaryota, Viridiplantae, Streptophyta, Magnoliopsida, Solanales, Convolvulaceae. The transcript has 3 exons.